This 640-nucleotide ribosomal RNA is filed under the name uncultured Alphaproteobacteria bacterium. Its description in RNAcentral is "bacterial SSU rRNA". It matches the Rfam family "Bacterial small subunit ribosomal RNA", at positions 46 to 732 of the family's 1533-position model. The record is from RNAcentral. Lineage: Bacteria; Pseudomonadati; Pseudomonadota; Alphaproteobacteria.
GCCUAAUACAUGCAAGUCGAACGAGAUCUUCGGAUCUAGUGGCGCACGGGUGCGUAACGCGUGGGAAUCUGCCCUUGGGUUCGGAAUAACUUCUGGAAACGGAAGCUAAUACCGGAUGAUGACGUAAGUCCAAAGAUUUAUCGCCCAAGGAUGAGCCCGCGUAGGAUUAGCUAGUUGGUGGGGUAAAGGCUCACCAAGGCGACGAUCCUUAGCUGGUCUGAGAGGAUGAUCAGCCACACUGGGACUGAGACACGGCCCAGACUCCUACGGGAGGCAGCAGUAGGGAAUAUUGGACAAUGGGCGAAAGCCUGAUCCAGCAAUGCCGCGUGAGUGAUGAAGGCCUUAGGGUUGUAAAGCUCUUUUACCCGGGAUGAUAAUGACAGUACCGGGAGAAUAAGCUCCGGCUAACUCCGUGCCAGCAGCCGCGGUAAUACGGAGGGAGCUAGCGUUGUUCGGAAUUACUGGGCGUAAAGCGCACGUAGGCGGCUAUUCAAGUCAGAGGUGAAAGCCCGGGGCUCAACCCCGGAACUGCCUUUGAAACUAGAUAGCUUGAAUCCAGGAGAGGUGAGUGGAAUUCCGAGUGUAGAGGUGAAAUUCGUAGAUCUUCGGAAGAACACCAGUGGCGAAGGCGGCUCACUGG